CCCCAAACCGACACAGGUGGUCAGGUAGAGAAUACCAAGGCGCUUGAGAGAACUCGGGUGAAGGAACUAGGCAAAAUGGUGCCGUAACUUCGGGAGAAGGCACGCUGACACGUAGGUGAAGUGGUUUACCCAUGGAGCUGAAGUCAGUCGAAGAUACCAGCUGGCUGCAACUGUUUAUUAAAAACACAGCACUGUGCAAACACGAAAGUGGACGUAUACGGUGUGACGCCUGCCCGGUGCCGGAAGGUUAAUUGAUGGGGUCAGCGCAAGCGAAGCUCCUGAUCGAAGCCCCGGUAAACGGCGGCCGUAACUAUAACGGUCCUAAGGUAGCGAAAUUCCUUGUCGGGUAAGUUCCGACCUGCACGAAUGGCGUAAUGAUGGCCAGGCUGUCUCCACCCGGGACUCAGUGAAAUUGAACUCGCUGUGAAGAUGCAGUGUACCCGCGGCAAGACGGAAAGACCCCGUGAACCUUUACUAUAGCUUGACACUGAACACUGGUCCUUGAUGUGCAGGAUAGGUGGGAGGCUUUGAAGUGUGGACGCCAGUCUGCAUGGAGCCAUCCUUGAAAUACCACCCUUUAAUGGCUGGUGUUCUAACGUGGGCCCGUGAACCGGGUUGCGGACAGUGUCUGGUGGGUAGUUUGACUGGGGCGGUCUCCUCCUAAAGAGUAACGGAGGAGCACGAAGGUUGGCUAAUCCUGGUCGGACAUCAGGAGGUUAGUGCAAUGGCAUAAGCCAGCUUGACUGCGAGCGUGACGGCGCGAGCAGGUGCGAAAGCAGGUCAUAGUGAUCCGGUGGUUCUGAAUGGAAGGGCCAUCGCUCAACGGAUAAAAGGUACUCCGGGGAUAACAGGCUGAUACCGCCCAAGAGUUCAUAUCGACGGCGGUGUUUGGCACCUCGAUGUCGGCUCAUCACAUCCUGGGGCUGAAGUAGGUCCCAAGGGUAUGGCUGUUCGCCAUUUAAAGUGGUACGCGAGCUGGGUUUAGAACGUCGUGAGACAGUUCGGUCCCUAUCUGCCGUGGGCGCUGGAAGAUUGAGGGGGGCUGCUCCUAGUACGAGAGGACCGGAGUGGACGCAUCACUGGUGUUCGGGUUGUCAUGCCAAUGGCACUGCCCGGUAGCUACAUGCGGAAGAGAUAAGUGCUGAAAGCAUCUAAGCACGAAACUUGCCCCGAGAUGAAUCUUCCCUGAGCCUUUAAGGCUCCUGAAGGAACGUUGAAGACGACGACGUUGAUAGGCCGGGUGUGUAAGCGCAGCGAUGCGUUGAGCUAACCGGUACUAAUGAACCGUGAGGCUUAACCUUACA
RNAcentral lists this ribosomal RNA (1304 nucleotides) under Salmonella enterica. RNAcentral's name for it is "partial 23S ribosomal RNA". It matches the Rfam family "Bacterial large subunit ribosomal RNA", at positions 1647 to 2925 of the family's 2925-position model. Lineage: Bacteria; Pseudomonadati; Pseudomonadota; Gammaproteobacteria; Enterobacterales; Enterobacteriaceae. The record is from RNAcentral.